GAGGAGUUCACACCCUUCGUGCAGUGU
RNAcentral lists this small RNA (27 nucleotides) under Bombyx mori (domestic silkworm). RNAcentral's name for it is "ovarian small RNA-15894". Lineage: Eukaryota; Metazoa; Arthropoda; Insecta; Lepidoptera; Bombycidae. The record is from RNAcentral.